Molecule: long non-coding RNA, 1370 nt
Organism: Esox lucius (northern pike)
Lineage: Eukaryota; Metazoa; Chordata; Actinopteri; Esociformes; Esocidae
Source: Ensembl
CUAGUGCGCCUCUAAUUUGUACCUGUUGCAAAGCUACAGUAUCACUCAGUAUCAGGUUUUGUCUUAAGCCUGGAUUUUAUAAUUUAUGUUAUUCUUUUCACUUCUUGAAAAGAAAGGAAUGGAUUAUUUGGUCAGUUGAUAGUUGAACAUGUUGUAUUUGCUUUAGUUAAAAUGCAGAGGAAUGUAAGGUGGUGAAAGAACAACUUUAAGUGCCAAACCUUGACACCAAUGUGAUUUAUACUUUCAGAAACCCAUAGUAUUCAGUUAUAUUUAAAUUUAGAAUUACCUUUGAUUAGGGUUUUGAAAAUAAUGUGUGAGUGGGAGAAAAGUGUGUUCUUGGAGAGUUAAAUAUUUAACAGAUGUCAAAUAUAAUAUACUAUAAACAUAUACAGCAUACAAAUCCCCCCCCAAAAAGUGAACAUAUUUGUUUGCAUAUCUUUGCUCAUCAACUCGUGGUCCAUGGCGUAUGAAUAAAUAUGAAAGUACAGAGAAUAAACCACGCAUUACCUUUAUUUAAAUGUCUCUGUCUUCGAGACACACUUUUAGUAAUUCAAAUACAACCUCUGAGUAAGAAUAAGUCAGCCCAGUGUUUUGUAACUAAGGUUGAGCAGUCAGAAAGUAGAGGUGUUUUAAACUCUGAGGAAGCGGUUUCUGAGCUAUAUCAAGCCUUAGUAUGUAUUGUAAGUCAACACGCACUGCAUAACCAGUCAUUCAAAUGUAACAGGUCCUGUUAAAGAACAAUGCUGGCAUACAACAUUAACUAUUUAAAAUGUCCCCCCCAAAAAACAUGAUGUUUUUUUCUGGUGAAUGCUUUAUUUUUCUUGUGCUAGUUUACACAAUGGUUUAAGGUUUUGGAAUUCCCAGGGUAGUUAGAGUAAGAUAGUCAUAAAAAUGUCCGCACAAGAUCAGUCAAUCACAAAUAUGGAUAUAUUUCACAUACAGUAUAAGUGAAGUGAUGAAUUGGCUUAAUUUAGUUUGGCCUCAUGCCUUGCGUCCAUCUCCGACCAUUGUGGGCACUGUGUAUGUUAAAUGAAGACAGCAUUCAACGAUCAAGAAAGACAAAGUAAUUUUAUUUUGGGGAAACUACGAAUAAGACUUACGUGAAGAGCACAUGUAAAUAAUUUUUAUUGUUAUAUAUUUUGUCAGACUGGAGAAAAAAUAAAUAUACGCAGCAUCAUUGCAGUACCGGGUACCUGGGUUCCAAUAAGAAAACACAUAUAUUAUGAAUUCCAUUUAUAUGUUUGUUGUUUGCCAUCUCUGUAUAUUUCUUGAGUAUUGAGCUAAAGGGACACAAUAAUUAUUGUUAGGGUCUGCAUAAUAUACUAAAUGUACUUAAAAAUCCUUUUCAUAAGGGAAUUGCACAGAUGUGG